This 403-nucleotide ribosomal RNA is filed under the name uncultured bacterium. RNAcentral's name for it is "bacterial SSU rRNA". It matches the Rfam family "Bacterial small subunit ribosomal RNA", at positions 357 to 776 of the family's 1533-position model. The record is from RNAcentral.
GGGAAUAUUGCGCAAUGGAGGAAACUCUGACGCAGUGACGCCGCGUAUAGGAAGAAGGUUUUCGGAUUGUAAACUAUUGUCAUUAGGGAAGAAAAAAGACAGUACCUAAAGAGGAAGCUCCGGCUAACUACGUGCCAGCAGCCGCGGUAAUACGUAGGUGGCAAGCGUUAUCCGGAUUUACUGGGUGUAAAGGGCGUGUAGGCGGGGAAGCAAGUCAGAUGUGAAAACCACGGGCUCAACCUGUGGCCUGCAUUUGAAACUGUUUUUCUUGAGUGCUGGAGAGGCAAUCGGAAUUCCGUGUGUAGCGGUGAAAUGCGUAGAUAUACGGAGGAACACCAGUGGCGAAGGCGGAUUGCUGGACAGUAACUGACGCUGAGGCGCGAAAGCGUGGGGAGCAAACAGG